This 1255-nucleotide ribosomal RNA is filed under the name uncultured bacterium. Its description in RNAcentral is "partial 16S ribosomal RNA". It matches the Rfam family "Bacterial small subunit ribosomal RNA", at positions 85 to 1351 of the family's 1533-position model. The record is from RNAcentral.
GGGUACUCGAGUGGCGAACGGGUGAGUAACACGUGGGUGAUCUGCCCUGCACUUCGGGAUAAGCUUGGGAAACUGGGUCUAAUACCGGAUAGGAGCCAUCUUUAGUGUGGUGGUUGGAAAGUUUUUUCGGUGUAGGAUGAGCUCGCGGCCUAUCAGCUUGUUGGUGGGGUAAUGGCCUACCAAGGCGGCGACGGGUAGCCGGCCUGAGAGGGUGUACGGCCACAUUGGGACUGAGAUACGGGCCCAGACUCCUACGGGAGGCAGCAGUGGGGAAUAUUGCACAAUGGGCGAAAGCCUGAUGCAGCGACGCCGCGUGAGGGAUGACGGCCUUCGGGUUGUAAACCUCUUUCAGCAGGGACGAAGCUUUUGUGACGGUACCUGCAGAAGAAGCACCGGCUAACUACGUGCCAGCAGCCGCGGUAAUACGUAGGGUGCGAGCGUUGUCCGGGAAUUAUUGGGCGUAAAGAGCUUGUAGGCGGUUUGUCGCGUCUGCUGUGAAAACUCGGGGCUUAACUCCGAGCCUGCAGUGGGUACGGGCAGACUAGAGUAUGGUAGGGGAGACUGGAAUUCCUGGUGUAGCGGUGGAAUGCGCAGAUAUCAGGAGGAACACCGAUGGCGAAGGCAGGUCUCUGGGCCAUAACUGACGCUGAGAAGCGAAAGCAUGGGUAGCGAACAGGAUUAGAUACCCUGGUAGUCCAUGCCGUAAACGUUGGGCGCUAGGUGUGGGGCUCAUUCCACGAGUUCCGCGCCGCAGCUAACGCAUUAAGCGCCCCGCCUGGGGAGUACGGCCGCAAGGCUAAAACUCAAAGGAAUUGACGGGGGCCCGCACAAGCGGCGGAGCAUGUGGAUUAAUUCGAUGCAACGCGAAGAACCUUACCUGGGCUUGACAUACACCAGACCGGGCCAGAGAUGGUCUUUCCCUUUGUGGUUGGUGUACAGGUGGUGCAUGGUUGUCGUCAGCUCGUGUCGUGAGAUGUUGGGUUAAGUCCCGCAACGAGCGCAACCCUUGUCUUAUGUUGCCAGCACGUUAUGGUGGGGACUCGUGAGAGACUGCCGGGGUUAACUCGGAGGAAGGUGGGGAUGACGUCAAAUCAUCAUGCCCCUUAUGUCCAGGGCUUCACACAUGCUACAAUGGUCGGUACAACGCGUCUGCGAGCCUGUGAGGGUGAGCUAAUCGCUGUAAAGCCGGUCGUAGUUCGGAUUGGGGUCUGCAACUCGACCCCAUGAAGUCGGAGUCGCUAGUAAUCGCAGAUCA